CUUAAUUGAGAUGAAGUAGUUUGGGCGACUUUAGUGUCUCUUUAACCCCUUAAGGACACAUGACAUGUAGGACAUGUCGUGAUUCCCUUUUAUUGCAGAAGUUUGGUUCUUAAGGGGUUAAAGGGACACUGUAGUCACUAUAACCAUUUUAUCUCUUUGAAUUGGUUAUAGGGCCUGGAGUACCCUGGCACUGUCCCUCCAUUCAGUGUUUUACCAUGUUCAUGCAGUAUGCCACAAAAUAAGAGUCCCUGGCCACCCAUAGUCCGGCCCCUUCUGUAUGUGUAGCUAAAGC
Non-coding RNA from Pelobates cultripes (western spadefoot toad), 292 nucleotides. Lineage: Eukaryota; Metazoa; Chordata; Amphibia; Anura; Pelobatidae. The record is from the annotation of a GenBank genome assembly.